RNAcentral lists this ribosomal RNA (924 nucleotides) under bacterium enrichment culture clone L55B-31. RNAcentral describes it as "bacterial SSU rRNA". It matches the Rfam family "Bacterial small subunit ribosomal RNA", at positions 8 to 916 of the family's 1533-position model. RNAcentral also lists the same sequence under 1 other name. The record is from RNAcentral.
AGAGUUUGAUCAUGGCUCAGGGCUAACGCUGGCGGCGUGUCUUAGCCAUGCAAGUCGAGCGGACUUAUGGGGUAACUUAUAAGUCAGCGGCGGACGGCGGAGUAACACGUAGCUAACCUACCCUCUGGACGGGGAUAACCUACCGAAAGGUGGGCUAAUACCCGAUGUAGUCAUCCUGUAUAGGGGUGAUGAAAGGUGGGCUUCUGUUUACAAGCUCAUGCUGGAGGAGGGGGCUGCGGCCUAUCAGGUAGUUGGUAGGGUAAUAGCCUACCAAGCCGAUGACGGGUAGUCGGCCUGAGAGGGUGACCGGCCCGAGGGGCACUGAGAUACGGGUCCCACUCCUACGGGAGGCAGCAGGCUAGAAAUUUGGGCAAUGGGGGAAACCCUGACCCAGUGACGCCGCGUGCAGGAAGGAGCCCUUCGGGGUGUAAACUGCUGUCGUGUAGGGAGAAGGGUACUAAGGUGAACAAUCUUAGUACUUGACGGUACUACAGGAGGAAGCCCAGGCUAACCUCGUGCCAGCAGCCGCGGUAAUACGGGGUGGGCGAGCGUUGCCCGGAAUUACUGGGUUUAAAGGGGGUGUAGGCGGUCUGGAUAGUCGGGUGUGUAAUGCAAUCGCUCAACGAUUGAGCUGCAUCUGAUACUUCCAGGCUAGAGGGCGGUAGAGGAGAGCGGAACUCCCGGUGUAGCGGUGAAAUGCGUAGAUAUCGGGAGGAACGCCGGUGGCGAAGGCGGCUCUCUGGGCCGUUCCUGACGCUGAGGCCCGAAAGCUGGGGGAGCGAAAGGGAUUAGAUACCCCUGUAGUCCCAGCCGUAAACGAUGGGCACUAGGUGUACCUUUUAACGGAGGUAUACCGUCGGGAAACCAAUAAGUGCCCCACCUGGGGAGUACGCCCGCAAGGGUGAAACUCAAAUGAAUUGACGG